GCUGGCGGCAGGCCUAACACAUGCAAGUCGAGCGGUAGAGAGAAGCUUGCUUCUCUUGAGAGCGGCGGACGGGUGAGUAAAGCCUAGGAAUCUGCCUGGUAGUGGGGGAUAACGUUCGGAAACGGACGCUAAUACCGCAUACGUCCUACGGGAGAAAGCAGGGGACCUUCGGGCCUUGCGCUAUCAGAUGAGCCUAGGUCGAAUUAGCUAGUUGGUGAGGUAAUGGCUCACCAAGGCGACGAUCCGUAACUGGUCUGAGAGGAUGAUCAGUCACACUGGAACUGAGACACGGUCCAGACUCCUACGGGAGGCAGCAGUGGGGAAUAUUGGACAAUGGGCGAAAGCCUGAUCCAGCCAUGCCGCGUGUGUGAAGAAGGUCUUCGGAUUGUAAAGCACUUUAAGUUGGGAGGAAGGGCAUUAACCUAAUACGUUAGUGUUUUGACGUUACCGACAGAAUAAGCACCGGCUAACUCUGUGCCAGCAGCCGCGGUAAUACAGAGGGUGCAAGCGUUAAUCGGAAUUACUGGGCGUAAAGCGCGCGUAGGUGGUUUGUUAAGUUGGAUGUGAAAUCCCCGGGCUCAACCUGGGAACUGCAUUCAAAACUGACUGACUAGAGUAUGGUAGAGGGUGGUGGAAUUUCCUGUGUAGCGGUGAAAUGCGUAGAUAUAGGAAGGAACACCAGUGGCGAAGGCGACCACCUGGACUAAUACUGACACUGAGGUGCGAAAGCGUGGGGAGCAAACAGGAUUAGAUACCCUGGUAGUCCACGCCGUAAACGAUGUCAACUAGCCGUUGGGAGCCUUGAGCUCUUAGUGGC
RNAcentral lists this ribosomal RNA (817 nucleotides) under uncultured bacterium. RNAcentral describes it as "bacterial SSU rRNA". It matches the Rfam family "Bacterial small subunit ribosomal RNA", at positions 35 to 847 of the family's 1533-position model. The record is from RNAcentral.